GAAACUUAAAUGAAUUGACGGGGGCCCGCACAAGCGGUGGAGCAUGUGGUUUAAUUCGACGCAACGCGAAGAACCUUACCAGGGCUUGACAUCCUCUGACAACCCAAGAGAUUGGGCGUUCUGCCUUCGGGUAGACGGAGAGACAGGUGGUGCAUGGUUGUCGUCAGCUCGUGUCGUGAGAUGUUGGGUUAAGUCCCGCAACGAGCGCAACCCUUAUCUUUAGUUGCCAUCAGGUAAUGCUGGGCACUCUAGAGAGACUGCCGGUGACAAACCGGAGGAAGGUGGGGAUGACGUCAAAUCAUCAUGCCCCUUAUGUCCUGGGCUACACACGUACUACAAUGGCCGGUACAAAGGGCGGCGAAGGGGUGACCCGGAGCAAAUCCCAACAAAACCGGUCUCAGUUCGGAUUGUAGUCUGCAACCUCGACUACAUGAAGUCGGAAUCGCUAGUAAUCGCAGGUCAGCAUACUGCGGUCGAAUACGUUCCCGGGCCUU
RNAcentral lists this ribosomal RNA (494 nucleotides) under uncultured Thermincola sp. Its description in RNAcentral is "bacterial SSU rRNA". It matches the Rfam family "Bacterial small subunit ribosomal RNA", at positions 896 to 1382 of the family's 1533-position model. The record is from RNAcentral. Lineage: Bacteria; Bacillati; Bacillota; Clostridia; Eubacteriales; Thermincolaceae.